Molecule: ribosomal RNA, 321 nt
Filed under: Triticum aestivum (bread wheat)
Lineage: Eukaryota; Viridiplantae; Streptophyta; Magnoliopsida; Poales; Poaceae
Description: partial small subunit ribosomal RNA
Source: RNAcentral
AUGGACCGUAACCUCCUUUACAGCCGUAUGUGUAGGUAUGAGUCGGAUGAUGAGGGUCCACCGGAAGAAUUGGAUGAGGAUGGAUUCACGCCGCAAGAAAAUCAAAUUUACAAGAAGGUCAAUGGCAAGGAAAGAGGACCCUCUUUGUUUCGUGAUCUUAGUCUUGCCGACAAGGCCGUUGUUGAUGGUGGCAUGAGGUUGGGCUUGGUCGAACCAUCACCUUGCCCGAGGAUGGGUGAUCCGAGGCCACCGGGUGAGGAUGAGAAUGCUCAUUUGAAGAAAGUGAUCAAGUUUGGUUGUUUGCAAGAGUUCAAGAUAUAG